GAUGAACGCUGGCGGCGUGCCUAAUUCAUGCAAGUCGAGCGAAAGGACGAGAAGCUUGCUUCUCUGAUGUUAGCGGCGGGCGGGUGAGUAACACGUGGAUAACCUCCCUAUCAGACUGGGAUCACCUCGGGAAACCGGAGCUAAUACCGGAUAAUAUUUUGAACCGCAUGGUUCAAAAGUGAAAGACGGUCUUGGUGUCACUUAUAGAUGGAUCCGCGCUGCAUUAGCUAGUUGGUAAGGUAACGGCUUACCAAGGCAACGAUGCAUAGCCGACCUGAGAGGGUGAUCGGCGGCACGGGAGCGGGAACGCGGUCCUGGCGCCUGCGGGAGGGAGCAGUAGGGUAUGUGCCGCAGUGGGCGGGAGCCUGGCGGAGCGGCGGCGCGUGUGUGGUGGAGGUGUUGGGUUCGUGAAGCUGUGUUAUUAGGGGUGAACAGAUGUGGAAGGAGCUGUGGAGAGCGUGACGGUACCGGGUCAGAAAGCCCCGGCUAACUACGUG
Molecule: ribosomal RNA, 497 nt
Filed under: uncultured bacterium
Lineage: Bacteria
Description: partial 16S ribosomal RNA
Rfam family: Bacterial small subunit ribosomal RNA
Source: RNAcentral